GUGCUCCCUUACGCAGCACAUGUACAAAAGCUGAACAGAUAAAGAGUUAUAGCUUGGCCUUGGUGCAAGGACAACUUGCAAAUUUGUGAAACAUGAAACUCUUUA
Molecule: small nuclear RNA, 105 nt
Filed under: Cavia porcellus (domestic guinea pig)
Lineage: Eukaryota; Metazoa; Chordata; Mammalia; Rodentia; Caviidae
Source: RNAcentral